GACAGAGGGUGCAAGCGUUGUUCGGAAUUACUGGGCGUAAAGGGCGUGUAGGCGGCGGGGUGUGUCCUGCGUGAAAGCCCCCGGCUCAACCGGGGAAGUGCGCGGGAUCCUACCUUGCUUGAGUGCGAGAGAGGGUGGCGGAAUUCUCAGUGUAGAGGUGAAAUUCGUAGAUACUGGGAGGAACACCGGAGGCGAAGGCGGCCACCUGGAUCGUAACUGACGCUGAAACGCGAAAGCGUGGGGAG
This 245-nucleotide ribosomal RNA is filed under the name uncultured bacterium. RNAcentral's name for it is "partial 16S ribosomal RNA". It matches the Rfam family "Bacterial small subunit ribosomal RNA", at positions 524 to 768 of the family's 1533-position model. The record is from RNAcentral.